UGUUGACAUUAUAGUUGUGCAGGAACUUUGUUGACUCUAGAGAACCUCGGGCAAAUCGCACAUCCUCAUGGCGGCGACUUUGCAUGUUCAUCCAUAUCAACUUUCGAUGCCAGUUUCUGUGCCUACCAUGGUGACCACGGGUAACAGGGAAUCAGGGUUCCAUUCCGUACAGGGACCCUGAGAAACGGCUACCACAUGCAAAGAAGGCAGCAGGUGCGCAAAUUACCCACUCCCGACACGGAAAGGUAGUGACGACA
This is a non-coding RNA of Pelobates cultripes (western spadefoot toad), 257 nucleotides long. NCBI's taxonomy places the organism in Eukaryota, Metazoa, Chordata, Amphibia, Anura, Pelobatidae. The record is from the annotation of a GenBank genome assembly.